GCUGUGGGCAGAGCCGGGGAAGUUUCCGAGGUGCUGCCUAUCCUCUUUCAUGUGUCCGCUUCAUAGAGUCGCAGAGUUGGAAGGGACCUUAAAGCCCAUGCAGUUCCAACCCCUAACAUGGGCUGGUUACCACUCACCUGCUCAGGCUGCCCAGGGUCCAGUCAGCCUGGCCUUGAGCACCUCUAGAGAUGGGGCACCCGCAGCUUGGUCCAGAGCACAAGCCUAAUGGACAGUGGCUCAGGAAAUUGGGAUUGUUUGAUCUGGAGAAGGGGAGACGCAGGGGACGCUUUAUCACCCUCUAAAACUCCCUGACAGGAGGUUGCAGCAAGGGUCAGACGGUGCUGUGGUCCCAAGGUCGUGCAAGGAGCCUGCAGUACAGUCAGCAGCUCAACCCGUAUCUGGAGGUCCAAACGUGGAUGUCUAAAGCCACAUCUACCUGCUUAAUCCUGCGAUUUAAAGAGCUAAAAGUCAUCAUGGGAGCACAGCUUCUUUCAUUUGCAACUGCUCACAGUACUGGACAUCCAGAGUCCUGCUAAGGACGAUGCAGUUUAUCAAACCAGCUUUGCACGGUAACCUAAAAUUGUGGCCAUUUUGCUGGGAAACACAGACCUGUAAAAUGCAGUGAUUCAGCAUCUGCAUCUUAAGCUGCUGAAUUUCACUCCUGGAUGUCUAAGAGCUGGCAGCAGGAGUGAUCAGACGCCUAAGGCUAUUUCAACAUGGGCAUUUGAAAAUUAAGUCAGUGAAAUUUACUGUUCAUUAUUCCUCUGGAAAAUUCAGGCUUAAAUUGAAAGCCUUUUCAAUAGUGCUGAGUUCCUCGAAACUAUCAUUGCUUUUCAAAGGAGCUCAAUUGCUUUAGAAUAACUACAUUUUAUCUAUGGUCUUAGCAGCCCAACUUUAUGGACUGACAGUUUUAUUGCAGAAACUUAAAGUGUGUUAGGACUUCAAACAGGGAAAAAAUGGCUUCUUCUGAGUCUUUUCUUAGUUUUACAAAGCUAUUCAUGACUAUGAAAAAAUUCCUGUGAUUGGAGCAUAAAUAAUGUUGCAGUAAUAACCUCAUAUAAGAUGGGAAUGGCUGAGGGGACAGAGAAACAACAUUUUUUUACUAAAGGAUUUCAUCAUUCAUUCCUCUCUGUUUUUCUGUCCUGCUUUGGGAAAGAUGUAACAUCUGCAGAGCUGAAGAGCACAGCCAACAACCAGUUGCUUCUUCCAGCUUGCACCUGCCCUGCCCUUGAGGUCAGACUUCUCUAUAAGAGAUUUAUCUCAGAACUCAUUCAAGAGGCCCAGAACUCUACUUCUCUCCUUCCCAUUCAUAUCCAUAGGAAGGUGAGCACCAUCUGCUUGUUUGAAGGCUGCUGCCCCCACCUGGCACGAAGAGGUGAAGGAUGUGGUACCUGCACAGGACAGGUCUUUCCUGACUGCUGAAUGUGAGAAACAUCACAGAGGGAGGAAGGGGAUGUGAGUUCCAGAGACAGCACUGUGAUUGCAGGGAGCAUGGGCAGAUAUACGUUUUGGUAGCAUGCAAUUUUUCCACCCUAAAAGAUUUUAUUUCCAUUUGGAUGGAGUAGUGACAUAGGCUGGCAGUAGAAGUAGGUUGUUGCAGAGGUUUAGGAAUGUUGGUUGAAUGAAGGCAGAAAAACAGCCUUUAUUACCCAGCUGGAGGGAUUUCAAGCAGGUUGAGGUACAUGGAGUACGCAAGAUGUUAUUCUGCAUUCUUUUCAAACUACUGAGAGCAUUUUCUCGAAAAGCAGGAAAUGAGCAGAGAAGUAGCUGCUCCUUUGGGUCCCAGUUCCCAUUCUGGGCUGCUGCUGGAGUGGUGUCCAUGUGCACUGCCUCUGGUUCCUCCUAUAGUGAUCCCAGUGGCUCAGUUUAGCCCUUCAUGGCUCACUUCAGCCAAUUCUGUCACCUGAUACAGAAAGAAUAAAUCAGCACUUCCAGGAACAGCAGCACCAUAGACAAAACACAACGGAAAUACAAUUCUUCUGGAGUGAGAAGCAUGAACAUAGCUCAGUAUGUCAUCUCUUGGUUUAGCCUACAGAAUCAGUGUGGUGAACACUACGGUUCUGAUUUCUUGAUGUAAUCUUUGCUAAGUGGCUCUGAACAGCCUGGUCUGGUGGUUGGCCACUCUGCACAUAGCAGGGAGGUUGAAACUGGAUGAUCAUUGUGGUCUUUUUCAGCCCAGGUCAUUCUAUGAUUCUUUGAUUCUAUGAAAGAUUUCAACGUUUAUGUCUGGAAAAAAUCCAGAUCUGUAUAAACUGGAGGACAUUAUUGUGUGUAUUAAAAUGUUCACAUGGUAUUAUCCCACAACCCUUCCCAUAUUUAUUUUGGAAAUCAUUACAUCUGGAAAAUGGGAAAACUUCCAGUUAAUUCUUUUACCUUGAAAUAUCAGCAAACACAAGGGGAUGUUGAGAUUAUUCCCUGCUAAAAAAGAAAAAAAGAACAAGUAGGACUCAGGACUAUAAGCCAAAAGAGAAUCCUUCUUCAAAUAAUGCAUCACGGCUUAAGCUUACCAUUGGGAAAACAAGGGUGAAAAGUGAUU
This is a long non-coding RNA of Lagopus leucura (white-tailed ptarmigan), 2536 nucleotides long. RefSeq lists it as uncharacterized. The record is from RefSeq and is a predicted model, not a curated record. NCBI's taxonomy places the organism in Eukaryota, Metazoa, Chordata, Aves, Galliformes, Phasianidae. The transcript has 3 exons.